Molecule: ribosomal RNA, 250 nt
Filed under: uncultured bacterium
Lineage: Bacteria
Description: partial 16S ribosomal RNA
Rfam family: Bacterial small subunit ribosomal RNA
Source: RNAcentral
UACGGAGGGUGCGAGCGUUGUCCGGAAUCACUGGGCGUAAAGGGCGCGUAGGUGGUCGGGUAAGCGUGUGGUGAAAGCUCGGGGCUCAACCCCGAGUCGGCCAUGCGAACUGCUCGACUUGAGCACUGUAGAGGCAGACGGAAUUCCGGGUGUAGCGGUGGAAUGCGUAGAGAUCCGGAAGAACACCGGUGGCGAAGGCGGUCUGCUGGGCAGUUGCUGACACUGAGGCGCGACAGCGUGGGGAGCAAAC